AUUGAACGCUGGCGGCAGGCCUAACACAUGCAAGUCGAACGGUAACAGAGGGAAGCUUGCUUCCUUGCUGACGAGUGGCGGACGGGUGAGUAAUGUCUGGGGAUCUGCCUGAUGGAGUGGGAUAACCACUGGAAACGGUGGCUAAUACCGCAUAACGUCGCAAGACCAAAGUGGGGGACCUUCGGGCCUCAUGCCACCAUAUGCACCCAGAUGUGAUUAGCCAGUUGGUGAGGUAACGGCUCAGCAAAGCGACGAUCCCUAGCUGGUCUGAGAGGAUGACCAGCCACACUGGAACUGAGACACGGUCAAGGCUCCUACGGGAGGCAGCAGUAGGGAAUAUUGCACAAUGGGCGCAAGCCUGAUGCAGCCAUGCCGCGUGUAUGAAGAAGGCCUUAGGGUUGUAAAGUACUUUCAGCGGGGAGGAAGGGUGUGAGUUUAAUACGCUCAUGCAUUGACGUUACCCGCAGAAGAAGCACCGGCUAACUCCGUGCCAGCAGCCGCCGUAA
This 506-nucleotide ribosomal RNA is filed under the name uncultured bacterium. RNAcentral describes it as "partial 16S ribosomal RNA". It matches the Rfam family "Bacterial small subunit ribosomal RNA", at positions 30 to 523 of the family's 1533-position model. The record is from RNAcentral.